GAUGAACGCUCGCGAUAGGCUUAACACAUGCAAGUCGAGGGGUAACGUGUUGGAAGCUUGCUUCCGAUGACGACGACCGGCGGAUGGGUGCGUAACGCGUAUGCAACUUGCCUCACAGUGGAGAAUAACCCGGAGAAAUCCGGACUAAUACUCCAUACACUCUUAAGUACGCCUGUACAUGAGAGGAAAGAUUUAUCGCUGUGAGAUAGGCAUGCGUCCUAUUAGGUAGUUAGUGAGGUAACGGCUCACCAAGCCGACGAUAGGUAGGGGUGCUGAGAGGCAGAUCCCCCACAUUGGGACUGAGACACGGCCCAAACUCCUACGGGAGGCAGCAGUGAGGAAUAUUGGUCAAUGGAGGAAACUCUGAACCAGCCAAGUCGCGUGAAGGAAGAAUGUCCUAAGGAUUGUAAACUUCUUUAGCGAGCGAGUAAGGACUUCCACGUGAUGGGAGUUUGAAAGUAGCUCGAGAAUAAGUAUCGGCUAACUCCGUG
RNAcentral lists this ribosomal RNA (491 nucleotides) under uncultured bacterium. RNAcentral describes it as "partial 16S ribosomal RNA". It matches the Rfam family "Bacterial small subunit ribosomal RNA", at positions 28 to 507 of the family's 1533-position model. The record is from RNAcentral.